This is a long non-coding RNA of Triticum aestivum (bread wheat), 3772 nucleotides long. RefSeq lists it as uncharacterized. The record is from RefSeq and is a predicted model, not a curated record. NCBI's taxonomy places the organism in Eukaryota, Viridiplantae, Streptophyta, Magnoliopsida, Poales, Poaceae. The transcript has 4 exons.
UAAAAAAACCCCAGCCACCCGGAAUCAGUCUCAGCCCACUCCCGUGCGUGCUGGAUAGGGUUCCCCGCCACCCUCACCGGUCGCCGCCGCCCUCACCGGUUGCCGCCGCCGUCGGUUUCCCCUACAUGGCUGGAGGAUAGGCCAUCCCGCCGGUCCAUUCCCGCCCCACUGUGAGGGAGGAGACUGACCAGUUGCUCCUCCCCGCCGGUCGCCACCCGCCACCCCAAGGAUCAAGGCCGGCCGCGCCGGUCCCUGUCGGUCGCUGCUCCGGAUCCAGGCCGCCCACCGCCCCGCCCCCGUUUGCCCGAUCUAUUUCCCACCGGAUCCCAUCUUCGCCGCCGUCCGACGCGCCUUCUUCAAGGAGCUGCGACCCCAUGUCUCAGAGGAGCUAGCCCCGACGCCAUUGAUGCCCGAGCGACGCUCCCAAACUAGGAGCGGCACCAGGACAACCACGCCCCCGAAGCCUAAACUGCAAGUUUAUUUUCAGAGUACUUGUUGUGUGCAAAAUCCUACCCUGGCGCAUGUUGUUGGUUGUUUAAUUCUGGAAUCACAAGUUAAUGCAUUUUGCUAUGUGGGUACCCAGCCAUCCAGUAUGUCGUCUGCAUUCCUAAUGGCUCUUCUAUCCGUGCAUCAACACCAAUAUUGUAUACAAGCUUUCCAAUCGCCACAACAUCUUGGUCUGGAAGGACAGAAGCGGCGUGAGAUUUCUUAGAUUUUGAUGGAUACAUGCACAAUGAGGAUGAUGCCAAAUUUGGGCAACUACAUUGCCGUCUCACCCCACUCACCCUCAGGUUUGUCUUCUGCCUUUUUCUGUUCUAUUCUAAUGGUACUUGAUGCUCCCUGGAUGGAAUUAGUACAUGAAUGUUGUUUGAAGUGUGAGCUUGGAUUCAGGUCGAUUGGCUGAGUAAGUGGACUAAAAUUAAGCAAACAUAUUAUAUCUUCCAGUUUCGGUGAGAUCAUGCACACAUCAGCAUAUAUACUCUCAAGCUAAGCCAUUUUUUUACUUCCUAUGACUACACUAAUAUCAGAGAAUCAGUUCAUACAGUGUUGAGUAAAAAGAAUGUGUGUAUCAGCCUGCUAAUGUGGCCUCUCGGAAUUUGGUGUAUACGUUUCUCUAAAUAGAGUCAUGUUGGUCAUAUUGCAAUUUAUAGCUUGGGCUAUUACAACUGUACCGCGAGGAAAAGAUUGAUCAAUUUAUCCUCUAGUAGAUAUAUUAAUAUUGCAGUUAAUAAUCCUCAAGUCAUUGCAACAUAGAGUGUAUGAACAUGCAGGCUUCAAAAUAGCAUAUAAUUGAUCUAUUGAUUCAUUAGCAGAAUAUUGUCUAGGUAGUUUCAUGUGAUUUCUACCUCUAAAAACGUUCUAUAGGAUUUCUCAGCCUGAAAAUUACUAAGGAGUCUCCAUGUGACCGGGAUAGAUAGUAUGAGCUUCCGAGAAAUGAGAACAAACUAAACUUCAGUCUGACCAUUCUAUAUCAUUUUUGGAAUAUAUAUUUAGAAAGGGUGAUCUUUUUGAGGGAAAACAAAGGGUGAUCUUGAUUGAUUCCCCUAACUAGGUCCCUGUUUUACUGAAUUAACAUAAUUGGGCCUUUAUGCAGUACUUGGGGAUCACUUACAGGGUCGUAUUAGAUUUUUCUGAAGAUACCAACAAAUAAAUAUAUGGUCCCCUUGAUUGAGUUUUUUAUGUAGGAAUUAUGGCGGACAUAAAUCCAUAAAAAUACCAUAAGGAUUUCUUGAUCUAUAGGACUGUUUUGAAAUAAAAUACUUCCAACGAUUACUUAUAUUGAACAACAUUUUAGAGGGCAAUUUCCAUCGACUCAAAUCUCUAUGAAAAAACAGUUUUUUCACCAGGCAAUCGUAAAAGUUCAAUGCAAAUUAAAUUAUGUGUUUUUAAUAAAAGUCCAAUCUGAGAUCUUAUGUUUUCCAUAUUUCAUUACAAACCUGUGAAUUCCAGAGGCAUGUCGUUGCACAAAAUCUGUAAAUUAUUACAUCAUCAAGAUAAUGCUCUGUUCAUGCUACGAAUAUUAAUCAUCUCUGUUUAUGUUGAAUACAAUCUUUGCUAAGAGUAACUUGCCAAUUGCACUUUAACGAAAAUCAUUCCUCUAUGUCACUAUUAGAAAAUUCAUGUGUUUAAUUAUAUCAUCCUAAUUGUCCAUUGCAUGUUCCUAUUGUAGACAUUAAAGGUGAAAAGUUCUGUGUGUACAACACUUUUCUGUCGGAUCCCUAUACGGAAUUGAUCCUGUGGUGUGCUCUGAUUUGGAUCUGAGUAUGAAUGGUUCAAUGGUGCCGGUGUACGCCCAUCGGACGGAGAACAUCGUACACAUAUCAAUGCUCAAUACUGAUAGUACCAUAACUGUCGCAUAUCUGCCAACGUCUAGAUGCAUCCUUUGUCCUCAAUUUUUGUGCACAUAAUCGUAGUUUGAGGUGCAUUUCGUUCUUAAAAAAUGUUGUAGUGUGAGCAAGCUUCAGAAGCAUAGAUGUUCACAAAAGAUAAAAAAUACUUGGUGGUGACGAUUAUCUAUGAAACAGCACUAGAGGCUAUGGCAAAGACAUACGCCCUAUCUUAUCCCCGCAAUGUCUAUAAGCUUCAUAUGAUUAAAAAUGUUAUAUUAUAUUUGGUCAACAUGUUGUGAGAAAUUCAUAUCUAACAUAGUAAAUUGUUUAAAGAAAACAUGGGUAAUUGUUUGUUAGAUACGAAAAUGAAAAUUGACGGGUGCUCAUUAUAGUUAGUUGUUUACAGUUUAAUUAAGAUGGCAUUGGUACAGUGAACAUCACAGGUCAGUAUUAAUUACUAUGGUAUUUGUAUGACACACUCACACUAACAUCCAUAAUACAUAAAGUAAAUACAAUUUAAUUAUUACAAGUUUGCACAUGUAGUGAAUAUUACAACAUUCGUCGGCACUUAUUUUUCUUCCAAGGUGCUAGCCCGUGCAGGCGCACGGGUUGACGACUAGUAUUUACUAAUUGGAGGCACUAUUCGAGACACCACGUUAAUCCUAGAAAACUUAACAAAAUCAUCCAUUCGAUCUGAGAGUUGCACCUCUGGAGCCGUUAGAUGAAAUCCCUCAUAGAGUCAUCACGAACUAUCCCACGUAAGGAGUUCUUUCCGAGCCUACAAAAAAACAUGUUCGUCUCUCCUUGUAAAAAUUAUCUCCGUCUGACAUCUUUCCCAUCUCUUCUACCCAGCCCCGAUCUCCCUCCUCCGCCAAGAAAACAGCAAGCAACACCAGCCCUUCGUCAACUCUAAUAGUACUGCUGGGCAUGGGGCUCCAUUGUCAUAGGCCCCUGGGGCCUUAACGGGCGCAUGGGUUUGGGCGGAGCCCUGGGCGGGUGCUCGCCCAGCAGGGCUGCCAAGGCCAUGGCCACGACCGGCCACAGCGGGAGUUGGCCGGCGAGCGACGACCGACGGAGGCAGCACAGGGGCGAAGGAGGCGGGCGCGGCCAUCGGUGGGCUCGAGCGGGAGCGGAUAGAGGUGCGGGGUCAGACCCCUGGGCGCAGGCGAGCACCUAGAUCGAGCGAGGGAGGUGGGGGACAUGCGAGAGAGAGAGAGAGUGGGGGAUCGAGGGGAUCGCGCGGGGGGAGUGGGGGUGACGCUAGGGUUUCGGGCACCCGAGGGGGUUAGUAGAAGGCGUGGUUGGGCCGGCCUAGCGGCCUGGCAGCCUGCUGGGCCGGCCAAGUGAGGGGCGAGGGCCUCUCCCCUUUUGUGUCUUUUUUGUUUGUUUGCUUCUUUGCUUUUAUUUACUUUGCCAUUUGACUUAAUUACAAAUUUUGAAUC